RNAcentral lists this ribosomal RNA (330 nucleotides) under uncultured eukaryote. RNAcentral's name for it is "partial 18S ribosomal RNA". It matches the Rfam family "Eukaryotic small subunit ribosomal RNA", at positions 1470 to 1796 of the family's 1831-position model. The record is from RNAcentral.
CCCUUAGAUGUUCGGGGCCGCACGCGCGCUACACUGAAGGAAUCAGCACGUCUUUCUCCUUGUCCGAAAGGACUGGGUAACCCGCUGAACCUCCUUCGUGCUAGGGAUUGGGGCUUGUAAUUCUUCCCCAUGAACGAGGAAUUCCCAGUAAGCGCGAGUCAUAAGCUCGCGUUGAUUACGUCCCUGCCCUUUGUACACACCGCCCGUCGCUACUACCGAUUGGAUGGUUUAGUGAGAUCCUCGGAUUGGUCCCGGAGCGGCCUCUGGUCGUGCCGGAGUGCCGAAAAGAAUGUCGAACUUGAUCAUCUAGAGGAAGUAAAAGUCGCAACA